Long non-coding RNA from Orcinus orca (killer whale), 622 nucleotides. RefSeq lists it as uncharacterized. Lineage: Eukaryota; Metazoa; Chordata; Mammalia; Artiodactyla; Delphinidae. The record is from RefSeq and is a predicted model, not a curated record. The transcript is spliced from 5 exons.
AGGUGCUUGAGGCUUCCUGCGUGAGGAGAGUUCUGCUGUCAAACCAGGUGGCUUCCCUGCCAGUCCUGUGACUUGGAGUCAGAAGCACAUGGAUCCUCUUUUGAAUACAAGGCUGAGAAUUUUGGCAGGCUUGGUAAAUCAGCUGUGGACUUGUGUGGUCCCAGGUUAGAAUGCCGAAGAUAGCUGGACAAAAAGAGGAAGAAUCGAUACCACACGACUUACGUUUCAGGGGUUGUAGUGAUGAAGUGUGACUCUGGAAGUUGGUACAUUCAAAAUCUCCUUCACCCACGGGACCCUGUGUGGGACAACUGAGAUUUCCCUCCUCAUCACUUCAAAACACACCUGUUCCUGUGCAGGACAAAGCCCAGGAGUGAAGUGUUACAGAGGAAAGGCCACCUGAGUAUGCAUUAAGUAGGUGGCCAUUUUCAAGCCAGGAAGAGCGUGCUCACCAGGAACUGAAUCAACUGGUACCUUUAUCUGGGACUUCUAACCUUCAUAGAAGGAGAAGGUUUCUCCUGUGAGAAAAGGAAUCUGUUGUGGAGAAACAUGAGCGUGCUUACAUGCCAAUUGGAAGGAUAUAUUAAAAGGGAGAAGAUAAAUUUACAAAAGAAAGAAUAAGAUA